GCAGUGACUGUAUGAUGAGCGGUAAAAUAGCGUUUUUAGCGCUAGGUGCCGGCCGCUCUAUCGGUCUCCUGGCCCCUGCUGGCCUCAGGCUGCUAUGCAAAUGUCCUCCCGCGCUGGCCUAUCCCUUCAUUUUAAAGACAAGGGACUUAGGGCCCCGGUAAAUGGCUUUUCUUUAGUGAGCGGUGGGGGUGUGGGCUCAGGUGUCCUAUUCGUCUUUCCCUAAGCUGCGAUUUCCCAAUAACCAAGUCUCCCCCGGUCGCCGCAGCCCUAACUCACUGUCCUCUCUGCUUUCUGCAGAAGUCGCUUCUGCCCAGCAACAUGGAAAUGCGAUUAAGGAAAACCCACGAGGACAUCCGGGGCCUCCUCUUCCAUCCUGCCGGGCUGCAAUGUAGAAGACAAGUGUGGAAUGUUGGAAGAUCUUGUACCGAGAUCAUGGCCUAACACCGCAGGUGUGCCAUAUGAAAGCCUCGCUUUAGAAUUCCUGACGUGUUCUACGAAGAUGAAAACACGGGUUUUGAAAAACAAGUCCAGGAAGAUUGCAUCAAGUUCAGCAGCCGAGCGGACUGAGCGGCUUGAUCUGGCCCUUCAGCCUGGCAGUUCCUCGUGACACCCUGCGAUGGCCAAUGGAGAGCAGCCUUCCUCUGCACAGGACAUGUGAUUGUUGCAACAUCUUUCCCCCUUGGAUUGCCAGCGGACCUUGUCAAAAACCAACUGACUGCAAGUCGCUUCUUGCUGUAUUGGAAGUUUUGUUCUGUUUCUCUUCAUAUGACCCUUAUAUCACACUCUCUUCCUUACUGUGGCUUUAGAUUUUCAGAUCACGUAGCAUAGGUUCUCUAAAUUUGACCUUGUUUCUCAAGAUUGUUUUUGGCCAUCUUGGGUUCUUUGUAAUUUCCAUUUAAUUUUACAUUUUAGGAUUGGCUUGCCAAUUUUGAAAAAAUAUGCCUGUGGAAAGUUGAAUCAGAGUGCUUUGAAUUCAUGUAUCAGUACUGCCAUGUUGAUCACAGUGAACCUUCCAGACUAUGAACGUGCAAUGUCUCUCCAUGUAUUUCAAUCUUCUAGCAUUUCUCUUAGUAAUGUUUAUAUUUUCCAUGUAUAAAAUUUUAUUUUCCAGUGCAUAAAAUCUUCCACUUUAUUUGUGAAACCUAUUCCUAAGCAUUUUAUUAGUUUUAUUAUAUUGAAAAUGUAAUUAUUUUCUUAUUUUCAUUUUCAUAUCCUUUUGUGCUAGAGGAAAGCCAGUGAUAGUUGUGUAUUGAUUUCGAAUCAUGUGAUUAUGCUCAAUGUAUUAGCACUAAUAACUUUUGGUGGGUUUCCUAGGAUUUUCUACACAGAGAAGAAUGCUGCUCCGAAAUCAAGACAGUUUUAUUUCUUCCUUUUGAAUCUGGAGGCUUGUUGUUUUCUUUUUCUUGCUAGGGUCUGCUGGCUGGAAUCUAGGAAAUUGCCAAAGAGGAGAGAGCAAAGAUUUUUGCUUCAUUCAGUCUCGGGGGAAAAGCCUUCAGCAUUUCUUCAUUAAGAAGGAUGUUGGCUGUAGGUUUUCCAUAGAUACUUUUAAAAUAAUUUAUUUUAUUUGAAAUGUAGAGAGAAAGAGAGAGACAGAGACAGAGAGAGCUCCCAUCUCUAGUUCACUCCCCAAAUGCCCACAACAGCUAAGGCAGGGCCAGGCCAAAGCCCGGAGCUGGGGGCUCAACCUGCGUCUCCCACGUGCGUGGCAGAAGCUCACCCCUUGAGCCAUCACACUGCCUCCAGGUUGUGCAUUAGCUGAAAGAUGGAACCAAGAGCAGAGCUGGGACUUGAACCCACACACUCCUAGAUGGGUUGUAGGUGUUCUGAGUGGCUUGCUAAUCACUACCCCAAGCACUCCCCCCAACAAAGAUUCUUAGAAGUGAAAGAGGGAGAAGAGACCCGAGUGCUGUGUUGUACAGAGCACCUGACCCCCCACCGAUUGCUGUGAAGAUGGGGGAAGGAAGGUGUUCCUGAGCCAAGGCAAGCUUCCUCUAGAAGUGGAGAAACCAAGGAGACACACUGCCCCCUGGAGACUUCAAGAGAGAGUGCAGGUAUGCCGACACCUCACCUUUCCCCCACUGAGGCUCAGACCCAGCAUUAGGCUGUGCUUUAUAGAACUGUAGGAUAGGCGCUGUGCACUGUGGUGUGGCGUUGUGGCAUAGUGGCAGUGGGCAAAGCUGCUUCCUGUGAAUCUCCCAUCCUCCGGGCGCUGGUUCCAGUCCUGGCUGUUCCACUUCCAAUCCAGCUUCUUGCUGCUGUGCCUGGAGGAAGCGGUGGAAGGUGACCCAAGUCCUUGGGCCCUGAACCCACAUGGGAGACCUGGGUAAAGCUCCUGGCUUCGGCUGGCCCAGCCCUCCCCACUGCACCUGGGGAGUGAAGAGCAGAUGCAAGAUUCAAGAUUCUCUUUCUCUCUGUACCUUGCCUCUCUUUCUCUGUAACUCUUACUUUCAAAGACACAGACCAAUCUUAGAAAACAGAACUGUAGGAUAAUAAAUGUGUUGUUUUAAGGCCAUACAUUUGAGGGAAUGGCAGCAAUAGAAGACGAGUAUGUGAAAUUAUCACAUUUUCUUUCUCCUUGAGUCACUUUGGCUGUCUUUCGAGUAAUUUGUCCAUUACACCAUGAUUGUCUGGUUUGUUGGCAUAAAGUUGUUCACAGUGUUCCCUAACAAUGCUUUCACUUGCUGUCAAUAGUGAUGUCCCCUCUGUCUCCCUGUGUGGCUCUCGCUCUCUCGGCCUUGGCCAGCGCAUCUAAAGAUUUCCCAGUUUUGUUGAUCUUUCAAAGAACUACAUUGGCUUGACUUUUUUUUUCCCUAUUUUUCUAUUUCGUUGACUUCUAGUCCACUUAUUUAUUUCAAUCCUGCUUGUUUUAGGUGUAGUCUUUUUUUGUUUGUUUGUUUCUUAAGGUGGUAGCCCUGGUUGUUAAUUUGGCCUCUUUGUCCUGUUAUAGGUAUUUCUUUCUUUUCUUUUUUAAGGUUUAUUUAUUUAUUUGAAAGGCAGCAUUACAGAGAGGUGGAGGCAGAGAGAGAGAGGUCUUCCAUCUGCUGGUUCACUCCCCAGUUAGCUGCAAUGGCUGGAGCUGCACCGAUCCGAAGCCAAGAGCCAGGAGCUUCUUCUGGGUCUCCCACGCAGGUGCAGGGGCCCAAGCACUUGGGCCAUCUUCUACUGCUUUCCCAGGCCAUAGCAGAGAGCAAGAUCGGAAGUGAAGCAGUGGGGACACGAACCAGUGCCCAUAUGGGAUGCUAGCACUGUAGGUGGUGGCUUUACCCACUAUGCCACAGCACCAGCCCCUGUAGUCCUUUUAAUCUCUAAGUUUGCCUCUACCUGCUGCUUUAGCUACAUCCCAAAAAUCUUCAUAUGUUGAGUUUUUAUUACUAUGCAAGUCAACAUAUUUUAUAGUAUCCUUGAUUUCUUCUUUAAAUUUUUUUAAAAAUUUAUUUGAAAGGCAGAGAGAGAGAGAGAAACUUCCAUUUGCUUGUUUACUCCCCAGAUGACUGAACCAGUGAUAGGCCAGUCAGGAGCCAGGAACUCCCAUCUGGGCCUCCCACAUGGAUGGCAGGAACCUAAGACCUUGGGCCAUCAUCCAUUGCCUCCCCAGGGAUAUUACAGGAAGCUGCAUCAGAAGUGGAGGACCCAGAAUUCAAACCAGCACUCUAAUAUGGGUUGCAAGCCUGCAAGUGGUGUCUUAACCCACUGUGCCACAAUGCAGCUUCCUUUUCUUUAUGUGGAUCUGAUAUAUCAUCUGGUGUUACUUAAUUCCUACCUGAAGAACUUAAUUUUCUUAAAUACUGCACUUUUUGGAGGAUAACUCUUUAAAAUCAAUUUUCAUAUCAUAGAAUUUUACAUAAAUGAAGUGGCACUCCAGGGUCUGCUUUUUCUGGAUUCUUCCACACAAUAUAGUUAUUUUUGAAAACUAAAAGUUUGCAUCUAAGUAAUAUUAUCUCUUACCUCUAUUUUGCAAGAAGUUGUUAAUUACCUUCAUAUCUGAUUUUUUGAACUAACUGAAAUGUUCUUUUUCAUAGACUAUUUCAGUCUCAGAAAAACCAUUAAGAAAGGACAGCUCUAAAAUGGUUAUUCUUUUUUAAAAAAUAUUUAUUUGAAAGGUGGCAUUACAGAAAGAGGGAGCAACAGAGAGACAUCUUCUAUCUGCUGUUUUACUCCACAAAUGGCUGCAGUGGUGGGUGCUGGACCAGCCAGCAGGCUAAUACUCGAUCCGAGUCUGCAACAAGGGUGGCAGUGGCCCCAGCAUUUGGGGGCCAUCUUCUGCUGCCUUUGCAGUGCACUGGCCAGGAGCUGAACUGGAACAGAGCAGCCAGGACUUGAAUUGGUGCUCUGAUACAGGACGCUGGCAUCCCAAGGGUGGGCUUAUUCUGCUGCACCACAACACUGGCUCCUAAAUUCAAGAAAUUUUUACAGUCAUGACUACAUUGGUUCAAACUGAAAACAGGUACCACUCUGCUAAGGAAUACCCUUUGCCUGUGCAGGCUAAGUGGGACAGACCCUACUUGUCUCAUGAAUGGGGUUCUGUGACACAGACCUGGCCCACUGGGGCUUUGCUUGGGUUCUGUGAGUUGGGGUUCCCAGCUUUAGAGAUAAGACAUCCACCACUCCAUACACUUUCACAGAAAACUUUUCCCAAUUUUUUUCUUUGGUUUCAAUUUUCGUGUUGGGUGACUACUUAGUAACAGAAGGUACAGAUGCAGUCAUUUUGCUGGGUUUCCUUGCAGAGGAUGGUUAACAGUUUCAUUGCCUCUGUAGUUUUCAAAGUGGAAAUAUUUUUACUGCUUUUAGGAACUGAAAAAUACAUCAGUGUUCUUACAAAGUAUUCACAUAGUACAAAAACACACAAAAUAUACAGCCUUAUAACCACCUACAGCAGUAUAUGUAUAGGAAGGCUUCAGACACAAAUAUAAUACAUGAAAUUAAAACUAUUUACAGUUAUAAAACCACCAAAAAUAGGAAUUUAAUGAACAUUUUUUAAAAAGAUAAUUUAUUUGAAAGGCAGUGUUAAUUGAGAAAAGUCUUGCAUGUGGUGGUUCACUUCCCAGAUGGCUGUAACAGCUGGGGCCGGGCCGGAUUGAAGACAGGAGCUGAGAGAUUCUUCUGAGUCUCUCAUGUGGGUGCUCUGCUGGUUUCCCAGGCACACUAGCAGGGAGCUGAUGAGAAAUGGAGCAGCUGACACUUGAACUGGCAUCCGAAUGGGUUACUGGCAUUGUAGGUAGUGGCUUAGCCUGCUAUGCCUCAGCGCUGGCCCCAAAGUAUCCACAUGGUCACAACAGGAGGAUUAAGAGAAGUUGCAAGGAGUCCAUGAGAUUGAAAAUUCUCCUCCCCCCUUUACAAAUUAAAUGACAGAAGUAAGUACUUCACUUAGCAGUAUGUCAUACGUAUCCUAAGACACAGCUAGGGAGUUUGCAAGUAGCUGCUCUCAGACAGUACAGUCUGGUGCUAUACCGGCAUGCAGGAGUAACUGCUUUGAUGACACGCUUUUCUUUUUGAGGUCAAAUACAUUACUGAGGAGUCUGACAGGAUGGGGAACUUGAAGACGCUUGGAGCUUACUGAAAUCCAAAUUGCUCAGCUGGAUCUUC
Long non-coding RNA from Oryctolagus cuniculus (rabbit), 5583 nucleotides. RefSeq lists it as uncharacterized. The record is from RefSeq and is a predicted model, not a curated record. Lineage: Eukaryota; Metazoa; Chordata; Mammalia; Lagomorpha; Leporidae.